RNAcentral lists this ribosomal RNA (333 nucleotides) under uncultured Anoxybacillus sp. RNAcentral's name for it is "bacterial SSU rRNA". It matches the Rfam family "Bacterial small subunit ribosomal RNA", at positions 1047 to 1382 of the family's 1533-position model. The record is from RNAcentral. Lineage: Bacteria; Bacillati; Bacillota; Bacilli; Caryophanales; Anoxybacillaceae.
GGUUGUCGUCAGCUCGUGUCGUGAGAUGUUGGUUAAGUCCCGCAACGAGCGCAACCCUCGACCUUAGUUGCCAGCAUUCAGUUGGGCACUCUAAGGUGACUGCCGGCUAAAAGUCGGAGGAAGGUGGGGAUGACGUCAAAUCAUCAUGCCCCUUAUGACCUGGGCUACACACGUGCUACAAUGGGCGGUACAAAGGGUCGCGAACCCGCGAGGGGGAGCCAAUCCCAAAAAGCCGCUCUCAGUUCGGAUUGCAGGCUGCAACUCGCCUGCAUGAAGCCGGAAUCGCUAGUAAUCGCGGAUCAGCAUGCCGCGGUGAAUACGUUCCCGGGCCUU